AGUGAACGCUGGCGGUAGGCCUAACACAUGCAAGUCGAACGGCAGCACAGUAAGAGCUUGCUCUUACGGGUGGCGAGUGGCGGACGGGUGAGGAAUACAUCGGAAUCUACUUUUUCGUGGGGGUUAACGUAGGGAAACUUACGCUAAUACCGCAUACGACCUACGGGUGAAAGCAUGGGAUCUUCGGACCUUGCGCGAUUGAAUGAGCCGAUGUCGGAUUAGCUAGUUGGCGGGGUAAAGGCCCACCAAGGCGACGAUCCGUAGCUGGUCUGAGAGGAUGAUAAGCCACACUGGAACUGAGACACGGUCCAGACUCCUACGGAAGGCAGCAGUGGGGAAUAUUGGACAAUGGGCGGAAGCCUGAUCCAGCCAGACCGCGUGGGUGAAGAAGGCCUUCGGGUUGGAAAGCCCUUUUGUUGGGAAAGAAAAGCAGCAGGUUAAUACCACGCUGUUCUGACGGUACCCAAAGAAUAAGCACCGGCUAACUUCGUG
This 492-nucleotide ribosomal RNA is filed under the name uncultured bacterium. RNAcentral's name for it is "partial 16S ribosomal RNA". It matches the Rfam family "Bacterial small subunit ribosomal RNA", at positions 29 to 507 of the family's 1533-position model. The record is from RNAcentral.